GUUGCUUUCUUGGCCACCCAACUUUUUCUUGACUAAGCAUGCCUCGUAUGAAAAUUGAAGAGAACGUACAUUUUUUACAGCAUAUAGGCAGUGAGGAUGAGUUAGGUGAUUCAUUAAAGCCAAUUGUAUAAUAGUAUCAUCGUGCUGCUUCUAAGCUAAUUCUUUUAUCAUGUUGCUGGGCAAAUUUUUAGAAAUUUAAUCUAAGCCAAUCACUUAUGCAAUACGGUAGCGGGUAUCACAAGGAGUGACACUAGAGUGGCUUAUUUGAGGGGAGUAGGCAGUGUGGUCUUUUAUUCAUGUUCAUGGAACUCAAGACUCCUGAAAGCGCCCCCAGGUUGAAUUUUCCAUGUCUAGUGCACUAUUAAAAGACAGAACCCGCUGCUGUGAGGCAAGGGAGCACCGAAAAUCAGACAAAUUGGUAUCUUGCCUUGCUGCAGUGGCUGCUCUUUUAAGUCUGGUAAUCCAAGCUGCAGCUCCAGGAGUCCCCUCGGAUUUGGCCAGCAGCUGGUAUGAAAUUUUUUUUUUAGAUGAAGCAGAACUGCCAGGGAAUAGAAUAAGUGUAUCGAGCUGGAAAGGAAAUUCCUUAUAUUAGGGAAUUCGACAUUUGGUCCAUUUGCUCAAUGGGAGGGUGACCACGUCGCUUACUGAACCUGGUUAGCUUAGUCCAAAUUGGUUAAAUUAGGCGUUUUCCGUGAAAUCAGAU
RNAcentral lists this long non-coding RNA (703 nucleotides) under Olea europaea subsp. europaea. The record is from RNAcentral. Lineage: Eukaryota; Viridiplantae; Streptophyta; Magnoliopsida; Lamiales; Oleaceae.